RNAcentral lists this ribosomal RNA (775 nucleotides) under uncultured Neocallimastigales. RNAcentral describes it as "partial large subunit ribosomal RNA". It matches the Rfam family "Eukaryotic large subunit ribosomal RNA", at positions 26 to 643 of the family's 3401-position model. Lineage: Eukaryota; Fungi; Neocallimastigomycota; Neocallimastigomycetes; Neocallimastigales. The record is from RNAcentral.
CGUCUAUAUACGUAUAGCAUAUCAAUAAGCGGAGGAAAAGAAACUAACAAGGAUUCCCUUAGUAACGGCGAGUGAAGCGGGAAGAGCUCAAAUUUGAAAUCUUCAAGGUUUUACCUUGACGAAUUGUAGUUUAUAGAAGUGUUUUCUGUUGAGUUGCGGUAAAAGUUCUUUGGAAUAGGACAUCAUAGAGGGUGAGAAUCCCGUAUUUGACCGUUAUUCUCUAGCUGUGUGAUACACUUUCAAAGAGUCGGAUUGUUUGGGAAUGCAGUCCAAAAUGGGAUGGUAAAUUUCAUCUAAAGCUAAAUAUUGGCGAGAGACCGAUAGCGAACAAGUACCGUGAGGGAAAGAUGAAAAGAACUUUGAAAAGAGAGUUAAACAGUACGUGAAAUUGUCAAAAGGGAAGCGUUUGACACCAGUGUUGUUUAGUUGAAAAUCAAUUCAAUAGUUUUUGAUUCUAAGUAGUAUUGACUUCAUCAGCUUGCUGCUUUCUUCUCAGAAAUUAUUGAAUGCACUUUUCAGUUAACAAGUCAACAUCAAUUUCUUUUGUUGUAAAAGGGUAAGAGGAAGGUGGCUUGCGCUUCGGCUCAAGUGUUUAUAGCCUUUUAUCUCUGCAAUCGGAGAGAUUGAGGUCUGCAGCGUAGAUCCUUCGGGGUUAGAUACAUUGGUGCUAAGCUAUAGCCUUGUAUAGACAACUUGUUGACUAUGCUCAGUCAUGUAGCUUACUCGCUGAUGCUAUUUUACCUACGCUUAGGAUGUUGACACACGCGCGUGCUCG